AGAAUCAACGCUGGCGGCGUGCCUAACACAUGCAAGUCGCACGAGAAAGGGGCUUCGGCUCUGAGUAAAGUGGCGCACGGGUGAGUAACACGUGAAUAAUCUACCUCCGAGUGGGGAAUAACUGAGAGAAAUCUUAGCUAAUACCGCAUAACACUUACGAGUCAAAGCAGCAAUGCGCUUGGAGAGGAGUUCGCGGCCGAUUAGUUAGUUGGCGGGGUAAUGGCCCACCAAGACGAUGAUCGGUAUCCGGCCUGAGAGGGCGCACGGACACACUGGAACUGAAACACGGUCCAGACUCCUACGGGAGGCAGCAGUGGGGAAUUUUGCGCAAUGGGGGAAACCCUGACGCAGCAACGCCGCGUGGAGGAUGAAAUAUCUUGGUAUGUAAACUCCUUUCGAUGGGGAAGAUUAUGACGGUACCCAUAGAAGAAGCCCCGGCUAACUUCGCGCCAGCAGCCGC
RNAcentral lists this ribosomal RNA (460 nucleotides) under uncultured bacterium. RNAcentral's name for it is "SSU rRNA". It matches the Rfam family "Bacterial small subunit ribosomal RNA", at positions 26 to 518 of the family's 1533-position model. The record is from RNAcentral.